GUGAAUCAAGCUUGGUUGUGUACAGGAUACUGCACAGAUGUCAGCACUAUUUCACAGGCGGUUUCCACUGUGAGUCCAGAUAUAUUCACUGGAUCCACCAUCAACUUGAAUUAUGACCCGUGUAAUAACUACAACACACUCGACAACUACUGGAGAAGCACACUCAAUUACUGGUCUAGUUAUGGAUACAUAUCCGAUCAUGAUGACAC
This is a non-coding RNA of Pimephales promelas (fathead minnow), 209 nucleotides long. NCBI's taxonomy places the organism in Eukaryota, Metazoa, Chordata, Actinopteri, Cypriniformes, Leuciscidae. The record is from RefSeq and is a predicted model, not a curated record.